This 274-nucleotide ribosomal RNA is filed under the name uncultured bacterium. RNAcentral describes it as "partial 16S ribosomal RNA". It matches the Rfam family "Bacterial small subunit ribosomal RNA", at positions 523 to 796 of the family's 1533-position model. The record is from RNAcentral.
AUACGAACUGUGCAAACGUUAUUCGGAAUCACUGGGCUUAAAGGGUGCGUAGGCGGACUUGAAGGUCCGAUGUGAAAUCCCACGGCUCAACCGUGGAAUUGCGUCGGAAACCACAAGUCUUGAGGGAGUCAGAGGUAAGCGGAACUGAUGGUGGAGCGGUGAAAUGCGUUGAUAUCAUCAGGAACACCGGUGGCGAAAGCGGCUUACUGGGACUUUUCUGACGCUGAGGCACGAAAGCUAGGGGAGCGAACGGAAUUAGAAACCCUAGUAGUCC